Molecule: long non-coding RNA, 343 nt
Organism: Mercurialis annua (annual mercury)
Lineage: Eukaryota; Viridiplantae; Streptophyta; Magnoliopsida; Malpighiales; Euphorbiaceae
Exons: 2
Source: RefSeq, a predicted model, not a curated record
CAACGAAUCUGUUGUUGCCUAUGUCCUGAGAGUAUAAGUCGAAGGAGCUUGCCCAUGAACCAGCACAUAAAAAAGUGAAAAAUCCACAGGGUGAUUUGGAGCGUUUGCGGAACUAUUUGGGCUAAAAAGAGUGAAGAAUCAAAGAAAUAUCAAAGUUGGAAGCAUGAGCGAAGAGUUAAAGAGAAAUCAAGUUUUCAGAGCAUGUGGUAUGUCAACCUUGAGUUUUUCUAGUUUGAUCCUGAGUUUAUAGUGAUCAAGCAAAUCCAGAACAACUAGAAUGUCAAAGAAAUGCUUUGGUGCAUUAUAGAAAGUCAAAACAUAUGGAAUUAAAACAUAUUUCCUA